This 442-nucleotide ribosomal RNA is filed under the name uncultured bacterium. Its description in RNAcentral is "partial 16S ribosomal RNA". It matches the Rfam family "Bacterial small subunit ribosomal RNA", at positions 338 to 795 of the family's 1533-position model. The record is from RNAcentral.
CCUACGGGUGGCAGCAGUGGGGAAUAUUGGGCAAUGGGCGCAAGCCUGACCCAGCAACGCCGCGUGAAGGAAGAAGGCUUUCGGGUUGUAAACUUCUUUUGUCAGGGAAGAGUAGAAGACGGUACCUGACGAAUAAGCCACGGCUAACUACGUGCCAGCAGCCGCGGUACUACGUAGGUGGCAAGCGUGGUCCGGAUUUACUGGGUGUAAAGGGCGUGUGGCCGGGUUGACAAAUCAGAUGGGAAAUCCUGCGGCUUAACCGCAGAACUGAAUUUGAAACUGUUGAUCUUGAGUACUGGAGAGGCAGAUGGAAUUCCUAGUGUAGCGGUGAAAUGCGUAGAUAUUAGGAGGAACACCAGUGGCGAAGGCGGUCUGCUGGACAGCAACUGACGGUGAGGCGCGAAAGCGUGGGGAGCAAACAGGAUUAGAUACCCGUGUAGUC